GGGCGCAGCCUGAUCAGCCAUGCCGCGUGUGUGAAGAAGGUCUUCGGAUUGUAAAGCACUUUAAGUUGGGAGGAAGGGCAUUAACCUAAUACGUUAGUGUUUUGACGUUACCGACAGAAUAAGCACCGGCUAACUCUGUGCCAGCAGCCGCGGUAAUAA
Molecule: ribosomal RNA, 159 nt
Filed under: uncultured Pseudomonas sp.
Lineage: Bacteria; Pseudomonadati; Pseudomonadota; Gammaproteobacteria; Pseudomonadales; Pseudomonadaceae
Description: partial 16S ribosomal RNA
Rfam family: Bacterial small subunit ribosomal RNA
Source: RNAcentral